Molecule: ribosomal RNA, 830 nt
Filed under: Klebsiella oxytoca
Lineage: Bacteria; Pseudomonadati; Pseudomonadota; Gammaproteobacteria; Enterobacterales; Enterobacteriaceae
Description: partial 23S ribosomal RNA
Rfam family: Bacterial large subunit ribosomal RNA
Source: RNAcentral
UGUUUCGGCUAGGGGGUCAUCCCGACUUACCAACCCGAUGCAAACUACGAAUACCGAAGAAUGUUAUCACGGGAGACACACGGCGGGUGCUAACGUCCGUCGUGAAGAGGGAAACAACCCAGACCGCCAGCUAAGGUCCCAAAGUCAUGGUUAAGUGGGAAACGAUGUGGGAAGGCCCAGACAGCCAGGAUGUUGGCUUAGAAGCAGCCAUCAUUUAAAGAAAGCGUAAUAGCUCACUGGUCGAGUCGGCCUGCGCGGAAGAUGUAACGGGGCUAAACCAUGCACCGAAGCUGCGGCAGCGACACUAUGUGUUGUUGGGUAGGGGAGCGUUCUGUAAGCCGUUGAAGGUGGCCUGUGAGGGUUGCUGGAGGUAUCAGAAGUGCGAAUGCUGACAUAAGUAACGAUAAUGCGGGUGAAAAACCCGCACGCCGGAAGACCAAGGGUUCCUGUCCAACGUUAAUCGGGGCAGGGUGAGUCGACCCCUAAGGCGAGGCCGAAAGGCGUAGUCGAUGGGAAACAGGUUAAUAUUCCUGUACUUGGUGUUACUGCGAAGGGGGGACGGAGAAGGCUAUGUUGGCCGGGCGACGGUUGUCCCGGUUUAAGCAUGUAGGCGGAUGUUCCAGGUAAAUCCGGAACGUUAUUAACGCUGAGGUGUGAUGACGAGGCACUACGGUGCUGAAGUGACAAAUGCCCUGCUUCCAGGAAAAGCCUCUAAGCAUCAGGUAACAUCAAAUCGUACCCCAAACCGACACAGGUGGUCAGGUAGAGAAUACCAAGGCGCUUGAGAGAACUCGGGUGAAGGAACUAGGCAAAAUGGUGCCGUAACUUCG